RNAcentral lists this small RNA (74 nucleotides) under Xanthomonas oryzae. Its description in RNAcentral is "sX9". The record is from RNAcentral. Lineage: Bacteria; Pseudomonadati; Pseudomonadota; Gammaproteobacteria; Lysobacterales; Lysobacteraceae.
GUGUACGAGUGGUACAUGCCGAUUCCGAGCACCGGCCACGCCCGCCUGACGGCUGCGCAGUAGUUUUGUUUGCC